UUCGCUGACUUUCAGCGGGCGGAAAAGCCUCGGCCUACCGCCGUCCACCGUCCGGGUCUGCAGCCAACAACAAAAAAUGUCAGCCGCUGGCUCGCUCGCCCCUCCCGGGAGCCUGCGGCCGCUCGCCCGCUCGGCCCCCCGCGUCCCGCCCGGAGGCCGCGGCCGGCCCGGGGCUUCUCCGGAGGCGCCCACUGCCGUCGCGAAGAGUUGGGCUCUGUCAGCCGCGGGCCGCCUGGGGGCCGCAGGGCGGGGCUCGGGCCGCAGGGAGAGCAACGGAGCGGGUCCCCGCG
RNAcentral lists this unclassified non-coding RNA (290 nucleotides) under Canis lupus familiaris (dog). RNAcentral describes it as "partial telomerase RNA". It matches the Rfam family "Vertebrate telomerase RNA", at positions 90 to 387 of the family's 443-position model. Rfam says of the family: Telomerase is a ribonucleoprotein reverse transcriptase that synthesises telomeric DNA. Telomerase RNAs differ greatly in sequence and structure between vertebrates, ciliates and yeasts, but they share a 5' pseudoknot structure close to the template sequence. The record is from RNAcentral. Lineage: Eukaryota; Metazoa; Chordata; Mammalia; Carnivora; Canidae.